UACGUAGGGUGCAAGCGUUAAUCGGAAUUACUGGGCGUAAAGCGUGCGCAGGCGGCUUUGCAAGACAGAUGUGAAAUCCCCGGGCUCAACCUGGGAACUGCAUUUGUGACUGCAUGGCUGGAGUGCGGCAGAGGGGGAUGGAAUUCCGCGUGUAGCAGUGAAAUGCGUAGAUAUGCGGAGGAACACCGAUGGCGAAGGCAAUCCUCUGGGCCUGCACUGACGCUCAUGCACGAAAGCGUGGGGAGCAAACAGG
This 253-nucleotide ribosomal RNA is filed under the name uncultured bacterium. RNAcentral's name for it is "partial 16S ribosomal RNA". It matches the Rfam family "Bacterial small subunit ribosomal RNA", at positions 524 to 776 of the family's 1533-position model. The record is from RNAcentral.